CCGGAUAAUCCCUUUCUCCACCUGGAGAGAGAGUGAAAGAUGGCUUCGGCUAUCACUAGGAGAUGGGCCCGCGGCGCAUUAGCUAGUUGGUAAGGUAACGGCUUACCAAGGCGACGAUGCGUAGCCGACCUGAGAGGGUGAUCGGCCACACUGGGACUGAGACACGGCCCAGACUCCUACGGGAGGCAGCAGUAGGGAAUCUUCCGCAAUGGACGAAAGUCUGACGGAGCAACGCCGCGUGAGUGAGGAAGGCCUUCGGGUCGUAAAGCUCUGUUGUGAGGGAAGAAGCGGGGUACCUUGACGGUACCUCACCAGAAAGCCACGGCUAACUACGUGCCAGCAGCCGCGGUAAUACGUAGGUGGCAAGCGUUGUCCGGAAUUAUUGGGCGUAAAGCGCGCGCAGGCGGCUUCUCAAGUCUGAUGUGAAAUCUCGGGGCUCAACCUUGAGCGGCCAUUGGCCACUGGGGAGCUUGAGUGCAGAAGAGGAGAGUGGAAUUCCACGUGUAGCGGUGAAAUGCGUAGAGAUGUGGAGGAACACCAGUGGCGAAGGCGACUCUCUGGUCUGUAACUGACGCUGAGGCGCGAAAGCGUGGGGAGCCAACAGGAUUAGAUACCCUGGUAGUCCACGCCGUAAACGAUGAGUGCUAGGUGUUAGGGGUUUCGAUGCCCGUAGUGCCGAAGUUAACACAUAAGC
RNAcentral lists this ribosomal RNA (694 nucleotides) under Shouchella clausii. RNAcentral describes it as "bacterial SSU rRNA". It matches the Rfam family "Bacterial small subunit ribosomal RNA", at positions 169 to 865 of the family's 1533-position model. Lineage: Bacteria; Bacillati; Bacillota; Bacilli; Caryophanales; Bacillaceae. The record is from RNAcentral.